Molecule: ribosomal RNA, 209 nt
Filed under: uncultured bacterium
Lineage: Bacteria
Description: partial 16S ribosomal RNA
Rfam family: Bacterial small subunit ribosomal RNA
Source: RNAcentral
UACAGAGGGUGCGAGCGUUGUCCGGAAUCACUGGGCGUAAGGGCGCGUAGGUGGCGCGACAAGUCAGUGGUGAAAGUUCGACGCUCAACGUCGAAUCGGCCACUGAUACUGUUGGGCUUGAGCACUGUAGAGGCUAAUGGAAUUCCGGGUGUAGCGGUGGAAUGCGUAGAGAUCCGGAAGACACCGGUGGCGAAGGCGGUUACUGGGCA